Molecule: long non-coding RNA, 3949 nt
Organism: Sciurus carolinensis (gray squirrel)
Lineage: Eukaryota; Metazoa; Chordata; Mammalia; Rodentia; Sciuridae
Exons: 5
Source: RefSeq, a predicted model, not a curated record
CUCCGCGCGCUGCACUGCGACGCGGUCUCCUCCGUGCGCUGCUGUUUGCGGCCUCCGCUGCGCUGGGACUGGUCGGGCCACAGCCUCUGCUGCGUGGCCUCUUCUAUUCGACAGGUCGGGGCGUUGCCUCCUCUGCGCUGGGACAGGUUGGGGUGCCGCCUCCGCUGCGCGGCCGCUUCUGCUCUCCGACAGGUCGGGGCGCGGCCUCCGCUGCGCGGCCGCUUCUGUGCUCGGAUGCGUCGGUGCGCGGCCUCCGCUGCCCUCGAGCCAACCGCGGCAGGGACGGCGAUCGCCAGCAGCACCAGCCUGUCCCCGCAUCCCACUUGGACCACCCACCUGGCGGUGGAUGAAGACCACGGAGCCCAGGAGCCUCCAGGUGCCUCCCUGGCGAUCCACAUGCAGCAUCCUGAGGAUCUGGAGGAAGCGGAUACCCCUGGAGGGAGAAGAUCAGGGCUGAGAGGAGCCCAGCUGUCCCAGCGCCUGGCCCCGGAUGGCGGGCAGAAGAUGAGACAGGUGCUUAGUUGAUGGACACAUUGCCAUUCCCUCCAUAGCUCAUGAAUGUGGACGCUCACUGCACUCUUGGAUUCCACUAUUGCUUUGCGGAACGGCACAAGUGCUUAUCUGAAACCAUUUCCACUCUAGUGAUUUCCCCGAGGCUUUCCUCCCAGCAAGAGAAGACUUGGUUCGAGCCUCUUCAGACCCCAACGCGAGUGCAGGUGCCUUCCCCAGCGGUGCCUCUGGGUGGGACCGACUUGGACAGGGCCAUUGCAGAUGUGCCAGGAAUGUUUUAAGGGAUUGAGAGGAAAUUGUGCACGGAUUUUGCUGUUUUAAGAGCUAAUAUGUGAACAACUUCAGAAGGACGAUGUUGUUUUAGGGCUGCAGUUUACACAGUCAACGGGACACACAAAAGCAGGCUUGUCAUGGAUUCUGGGGCCUGUCUCCUUGAAUUUCAUUCCCUAGGGAAGUGGCAGCCUUCCAGGGGAGCAGAACUGGAAGAGAGCAGCAAGGCUGACCCCUGUGCCCUUUCCCCGGCUCCCACCAUGUCCUGAGCAGGAUGGCUGGAGAGGGAUGUCACGCUGGACAGCCAGCAGCAGGCGGGGUGGGGAAGGGCCUGGAGCAACUCUGGGGCCAAAGCCCACCCAGCGAGGCCUCUCUGGGGCUCCUGGGGUGGGUGCCCCUGCAGAGGGCUGCAUUCUGACUCUGGAAGGCCACACAGCCCCUACACUGCUCAGGAAGGUCCCCCAAGAUGGUUGUUCCCAGCCACAUUUGUGCUGGGAAGCCUGCUCCUUGGGGACAAAGAUGUAGUCGAGAAGAGACAGACAACCCAAGAGGCUUGCUCACUGACUGUAGUGAGAACUUGCCACCCAGAGACGCAGGCCCGAGGCCUCACGGUUCCACCAACACCAAAGGAAGAUGCCACCAUGCUUCCAAGCUCUGCCCGGAAUGGAGGGGCAGCAGACGCUUCCCAGCUCACUCUGAUGCCUCACUCUGAUGCAUGGCCAGAGGCAGGUGGGCAAGCAGAACAAGCGCCACCCCACGGGGCACAGGGGCACGGCCCCCGGGCCUCAGCAGAUCUGUGCACCGCACUGCGCCCCAAGCAUCGGACCGUGUGGGCCCAGUGAGGGAGGCAGAGCUUCACCCUGAAAAUCAGUCGGUGCAGUUCCCUGGGUUCCCAAGGAAGAGGGGAGAGGACGGCGACCAUCUUCCCAGGGCAGAGGCCUCUGACAAACUCUAACAGCGUCCUUGUGGUUCUCUGUUCCCAGCAAAGGAGGAAGAAAAGGAAUCUAGCCUGGUAAACAGCACCUGCAGAAACCCCACAGCUCACAUCACUCCCACGGAAGGAGCAGUGCUCGCCCCUCCGCGCCAGGAGCAGGACAGGGACAUCUGCUCUCUGCUCACCGCUGAGAGUGGGGUGGGAGGCCUAGCCGGUGCUGUCAGGGAAAAGCAAGAAAUAAAAAGCAUAUGGAUUGGAAAGGAAAAAAUAAGACUUAACUUUAUUUGGGACAACAUGAUCGUCUCCAUAGAAAAUCCUAAAGAAUCUACAAAAAACAAACAAAAACAAAUGAACAAAAAUCCUUCUAGAACUAAUUAGGUUAGCAAAGACACAGGACACAAGGUCAAUAUAAAAAAAUCAGCUGUGCUUCUGCAUCCUGGCAGCAAACGGUCCAAAAACGAAAUGGAGGAAGCGGCAUCAUCGAAGCCACUUCAGAAACAUGAAGCACUUAGUAACAUAUCUAGCAAGUUCUGUGCCCUGGGUCACAAACAAUGCGUGGAGAGAGGCUGUAGGUUCACAGUCAGAAGACUGGGACACCCGCGCCCGUGCACACCGGGCAAGGCCGGGAAGGAUUCCUGCAGGGGUUGUGUGCUUUGUUUUUUGAUAGAAACCAAUGGCUGAUUGCAAGAUUUACAUGAGCAUGUGAAGGUCUGGCAGGCAUCACACUUCUGAAAAUGAGCAAACUUGGAGGAUUAACAGGACCUGAUUUCAAGGCUUAGUAUAAAAGUCACAGUAAUCAGGACAGGGCUUUUCUGGCAGAACAGAUCACAAAGUCCAGAAAUCGGACCCACACAUGGCCAACUGAUUUCCAUCAAAGGUGCCAAAGUAAUUCCAUGGAAAGAAAGUCACUGGGACGACGGGGUCACCACAUGCAGAAGACUUAACCCCGAUCCGUGCCUGUCACUGUGCAUAAGAUUGAACUUGAAAUGAAUCGCAGAUCUAAACAAGAAAUGUGAAACUAUAGGAUUUUUACAGAAAACAGGAGAAAAGGCUUUGUAACCUUGGAUUAGGCAAAUAUUUCUUAGAACACAAAAAAACAUGAACCUUACAGGGGGAAAAAAAAGUCUUGAUGAAUUGGACAUCAUCAAAAUUAAAAACUGCUGCUCGUUUGAAAGGUCCUGUUGGGAAAAUGCAGAGAUGAAGACUGGGAGGGAAUAUCCACAAACCGCAGAUCUACAAAGACUCGCAUCUACACCGCAGGCCCCGCUCUCCCGACCCGACCCAGCGCAGCCCAGGGGCCGAGGUCUGCAGAAGGCUGGGUGGACCUGUGAACGGCGCAUGUGCCCGUCAGUCCCUGGGUCGGGGGGACCCCCAGGAGGGCGGGGCUCGAGACACAGGCAACACCGAGUGCUGGGGAGCCCGCCACCAUGGCGCCCACAGCCGCCGCGCAGGCCGUUUGGCAGUUUCUCGGGACGGGAAGCGGCCUGGCCGUGGGAUCCAACAGCCCCACUCCCAGGCCCCGGCCCAAGAGGAAUGAAGACAUGAUUCCUCCAGGACCUGAGCACAUCCGUGCAGCCCUCUCGACAGCUGAACGGGAACGGCUCAAGUGUCCGUCCGCCUGUGAACGGAUAAACAAACUGUGGUACACUUUAUCCUUUCCAAACAAAAGGAAACAAACUACUGAAUGCAGACGGUGACACAGAGGAGCCCCACACGCGCCGUGCCAAGUGAUGGAAGCCAGGCUCGGUGCUUGCUGCGGAUUCCAACCCCAUGACGCCGGGAGGCCGCAGAGCCCACGCCGCCUGUUCCCUGGUGCUGGGCGCCCCCGGGCGACGGCCCGGCGCGCACUGGGCUUCGGGGGCUGACAGCUGCACGUUGCCAGACCCCUGGAACUGGACACCUGAAGAGGGGAGGGUUGUCUGUCCUCAAAACCCCAACAGACCUGAGCCCCAACAAGAAGAGACCAAAGUCACAAGACCCCCCCUCCCCGGAGACUCGUGUGCCCCGAUUGUUUCUUAGAGUUGUCAGAGGGUGGUGAGCAGUCGAAGAUCUGGGUUUGGGAGAUUAGGAAACAGAAAACCAAAAAGUAACCGGACACACUGAGGCCCCUGUCUCCCCAGGUCCUUUCCAGAAGCCCCUGACCGUCCACUGGAGAGCCCUGGAGCUGCCCUCCUGCCUGUUCUAGGACUCACGAGGGGCGCUGGCUUGUGCCCUCAGGCCCAUCUCAGCCACUGA